GUUGCGUGGAAUGGACUACUCGAACGUGUCAAUCGGAUAUCGGACGAAGAAAAUAUCAACAAAAUUGUUUAAAGGGAAAAUUAGUCUUUUCACAAAUAGACCGACCUGGGAUGCCCUUAUCGAAGCGAGUGGGUGUACUAGUAAUUCUGUUGGUCUUAUCUCCAAACCGAUCAUGGUGAAACUCAUUUCUUUUCUUCCAUCUUCUUUCUUCUUCCUUCUUCUCCUCUGCUCCUCUGUUCUUCCUUCUUUUCUUCUUUCUGUCGGCUUUAAGUCGACGAAGUGAGAUUGGUUUGAUGUGGGUGAUUCGUAAAAGCUUGUAGUUUCGUCGAUGGAGAAGGUGAUGGUGUUGAAGUUAAUUGAGAACCAGGAGAAGAGAUGUGAUGUUACUGUAAGUUGAUUUUAGGGUUUUCUUUGGGGAAGAAGUAGAUGAAUCAUAAGAAAUAGGAGGGGGUAUUAUCGAUUGAAGGUUACGGUGGACUCAAACAAAGAGGAAGAUGAUUGGUAGAUGAUUUUGGAUUUAGGGUUAGGGUUUCAUAAGAAAAUACUCAAAAGAGGUUUGGAAGAUGAAAUUGAUGUUAUAGAACGACGAUUAAGGAUGGUUUUAGCCUGAAUUAGAGUUUGAAGUUAAUCAAUAGCUUGAAAUUGAGAGUAAGGGUUUGAUUAUGUUUUAAUGACGAUUGUUGGGAGUUGGUUUUGGUGAACUGAUGGAUUAAGAGGAGAUUGUGAUGGAAUUGGUAAUGAGAAAUUAAAAGAGGAAGAUCUCUGAAUCGAAUCAAGCUACAGAUGAAUCUAAUUCAAUUGCAGUACUGAGACUAUAUUGAGGUGGAAUGAGGUGCUAAUGGUGUUUCUAAUAUUUCGAGUGGAGUGUUAACUGCUAUUGUUUAGGUAGAUAGUGGUGUUGCAGUUCAUUGAUUGGAUUGAUGAAUUACAAGAUUUCGGAAAUGUUGAUUGAAGAAUAGAUUGAGACAUUAUUGGGGAUAUGAAUAUGAAGUUGCAAUUACAGUCUAGUGAUGGGUGGUGUGGUCUGUGUAUUGGAGUUUGAGGAUUAAAUGUUUGGGGUGGAGGUUUAUGUAAUUGGAGCUGCAGGUGACAUCGUCUUGUUGUGCAGUUGUUGAAGUUAAUGUUGCAGAUUGAAGUUGAAAUUAUGGUUGAUUACUGAGUUUGAAUAUCAGUUGAAGUUAAUGAAUGCAGUUAGUGUUAGUAGUGCCUAAGUUGAAGUUAAUGAAUGCAGUUAGUGUUAGUGGUUGAGUGUUGUUCUUGCAGUGAGUUUUUAUGUGAUAGAAGUGUUGGGAAUGAGGGUUAGAUGAGGUUGUUGAGUAAAUCUUUAAGGGAAAGCUUGUUACUGCUUUUGCAGGUAAUCUUAAAUUACAGAUGUAUUAAAUUAUAGAAUUUUGUUUAAAUGAAGAAAUUGUGUAAUGUUGUAAUG
Molecule: long non-coding RNA, 1426 nt
Organism: Papaver somniferum (opium poppy)
Lineage: Eukaryota; Viridiplantae; Streptophyta; Magnoliopsida; Ranunculales; Papaveraceae
Exons: 2
Source: RefSeq, a predicted model, not a curated record